RNAcentral lists this ribosomal RNA (509 nucleotides) under uncultured Lysobacterales bacterium. Its description in RNAcentral is "bacterial SSU rRNA". It matches the Rfam family "Bacterial small subunit ribosomal RNA", at positions 376 to 876 of the family's 1533-position model. Lineage: Bacteria; Pseudomonadati; Pseudomonadota; Gammaproteobacteria; Lysobacterales. The record is from RNAcentral.
CGCAAGCCUGAUCCAGCCAUGCCGCGUGAGUGAAGAAGGCCCUCGGGYUGUAAAGCUCUUUUGUCCGGAAAGAAAAGCGCCGGGUUAAUACCCUAGUGUCCUGACGGUACCGGAAGAAUAAGCACCGGCUAACUUCGUGCCAGCAGCCGCGGUAAUACGAAGGGUGCAAGCGUUACUCGGAAUUACUGGGCGUAAAGCGUGCGUAGGUGGUUUGUUAAGUCUGAUGUGAAAGCCCUGGGCUCAACCUGGGAAUUGCAUUGGAUACUGGCAGGCUAGAGUGCGGUAGAGGGUAGUGGAAUUCCCGGUGUAGCAGUGAAAUGCGUAGAGAUCGGGAGGAACAUCUGUGGCGAAGGCGACUWCCUGGACCAGCACUGACACUGAGGCACGAAAGCGUGGGGAGCAAACAGGAUUAGAUACCCUGGUAGUCCACGCCCUAAACGAUGCGAACUGGAUGUUGGGCUCAACUUGGAGCUCAGUAUCGAAGCUAACGCGUUAAGUUCGCCGCCUGG